Molecule: small RNA, 260 nt
Filed under: Fukomys damarensis (Damara mole-rat)
Lineage: Eukaryota; Metazoa; Chordata; Mammalia; Rodentia; Bathyergidae
Description: 7SK RNA (ENSFDAG00000003911.1)
Rfam family: 7SK RNA (bases 1-201)
About the family: 7SK was discovered as an abundant small nuclear RNA in the mid-70s but a possible function has only recently been suggested.
Source: RNAcentral
GGAUGUGAGUGCGAUCUGGCUGCAACAUCUGUCACCCCACUGAUCACCAGUGUUGAUUCGGCUGAUCUGGCUGGUUAGGUGGGUGUACCCUUCCUCCUUCCCUGCUUCAUGUGUGUCCUGCCCUAAGCUAUGCACUUGGUAGAAGAAGCCAACCACCCCUGAGAGAGGAGGACCCGCUCCUCAGUCAAGGGUAUAUGAGCAAGGGCCGGGGGCGGGGGGGGGUGAGCUCAGUGGUUCCACCACCCACCUCACAAGUGCAA